RNAcentral lists this ribosomal RNA (484 nucleotides) under uncultured bacterium. Its description in RNAcentral is "partial 16S ribosomal RNA". It matches the Rfam family "Bacterial small subunit ribosomal RNA", at positions 28 to 523 of the family's 1533-position model. The record is from RNAcentral.
GACGAACGCUGGCGGCGUGCUUAACACAUGCAAGUCGAACGAUGAAGCCGGAGCUUGCUCUGGUGAAUUAGUGGCGAACGGGUGAGUAACACGUGAGUAACCUGCCCUUGACUCUGGGAUAACUGCUAGAAAUGGUAGCUAAUACCGGAUACGACCCUCGGAGGCAUCUCCAGGGGGUGGAAAGAAUUUCGGUCAAGGAUGGACUCGCGGCCUAUCAGCUAGUUGGUGAGGUAAUGGCGCACCAAGGCAACGACGGGUAGCCGGCCUGAGAGGGUGACCGGCAACACUGGGACUGAGACACGGCCCAGACUCCGCGGGGAGGCAGCAGUGGGGAAUAUUGCACAAUGGGCGAAAGCCUGAUGCAGCAGCGCCGCGUGAGGGAUGACGGCCUUCGGGUUGUAAACCUCUUUUAGUAGGGAAGAAGCGAAAGUGACGGUACCUGCAGAAAAAGCACCGGCUAACUACGUGCCAGCAGCCGCCGUAA